UACGUAGGCAGCGAGCGUUGUUCGGAGUUACUGGGCGUAAAGGGUGUGUAGGCGGUUGUUUAAGUUUGGUGUGAAAUCUCCCGGCUCAACUGGGAGGGUGCGCCGAAUACUGAAUGACUUCGAGUGCGGGAGAGGAGAGUGGAAUUCCUGGUGUAGCGGUGAAAUGCGUAGAUAUCAGGAGGAACGCCGGUGGUGUAGACGGCUCUCUGGACCGUAACUGACGCUGAGACACGAAAGCGUGGGUAGCAAACAGG
Molecule: ribosomal RNA, 254 nt
Filed under: uncultured bacterium
Lineage: Bacteria
Description: partial 16S ribosomal RNA
Rfam family: Bacterial small subunit ribosomal RNA
Source: RNAcentral